Molecule: long non-coding RNA, 609 nt
Filed under: Trifolium pratense (red clover)
Lineage: Eukaryota; Viridiplantae; Streptophyta; Magnoliopsida; Fabales; Fabaceae
Description: long non-coding RNA (TPRA_LNC006471)
Source: RNAcentral
AGGGAGAAAGGUUUUAAUUCCAUACCAGAUAUUAGAGAAAAAAAAAGGUGAGAUGAAGAGAUGUAGGGAUUUUUGUUCUCUGGUGAAGAAGAUACAUGAAAAUAUAGAUGAAUUUUUUAUGGAGGAUUUAUAGAGAAACAUGGCCUGCAUAUAGCCAUUUUUGUGUCAAGAGAAAUUUGUUGAUUUGUUGAUGAUAGGUAGAUGAGUAAAUUGGUGGUAUUUAUAGAGAAAUAUGGAUACAUUUAAGAAGUGCAUGUUGGACAAAUGGAAUGUUGCAUGGAAGAUACAGAGAAAAAUCUUCCAUAGAAGACACAUGGAAGAUUGCAUUGGUUUGAGUAUUAAUGAGAGGAAUUUGCAGGUCUUCUGAUACAGUGAAAUUUGCAGGUCUUCUGAUAAAUAGAAUUUUUAGAAAAGAGGAGUAUAUUGUGAGUAGGGUUAGAAUUAGGUUUUGUAUUAUAGGGUUAGUUUUUAGAAAAGAGGAGUAUAUUGUGAGUAGGGUUAGAAUUAAGUUUUGUAUUAUAUGGUUAGAAUUAGGUUUUGUAUUAGGUUUGAAAAAAGGUUUGGAAAAAUGGGUUAUUAGGUUUGGUAUUAGGUUUGGGUGAAUUAGGG